This is a non-coding RNA of Python bivittatus (Burmese python), 2089 nucleotides long. The record is from RefSeq and is a predicted model, not a curated record. Lineage: Eukaryota; Metazoa; Chordata; Lepidosauria; Squamata; Pythonidae.
UGGGAAGUGGGGAGCCUCAAACCUUCUUUCUUGUUAUCCGCAGCGUGGGGGAUGCAAGAACUUCUAACGACAACAUGUCAACCUGCAGGCAUCGUUAGAAGGUCCCGUGAGUUGGGUAGGGCCGGCCUCGCAGGAAGGUGGUGACAUGUUGAAAGCCAACGAACAAGGCCGUUGUAAAGCGGUGUGUUGCAGAAUGAAAAGGAGCAGGGCCUUAAGGUUCCCAGACUGUACAAACGGUAAAUUUGGAGAUGUAAUUUUCAGGAGCUCAAGGUGGCCUCCAUAAUUUUACUACCACAACAAUCAUCCUCUGGGCUGGUAAUGACUCCUAAUCUGAACACCAGAAGACUGAAGCCCCACUUUAACAGGUUGAUAUCAGGAGCCCAUUUAAAAAGUAAUUUUCCUUUGAGUGUCCAGUUUAGUUUCUAUGUACCUAUAAAGAAGAUUGCUACUGACAAGUGAUAAUGUAAGUUCCCUGAGCAUUUUUAAUUCCUUUUCUCUCUGAGCCUUUCCUUCCAUUCUUCACAAUUCAAUACUUUUCUGACAAUUCAGAUAGAUAGAGUUUUUACACAUUCUUACCUACCUCAUGCUUGGAGCAGCAAGUAUGAUAAAGCACAAAAGAUGCCAUUAAGCUGGAAUGGAGUUGCUACAGUUGUUUAAGAUCUUUUCAGGAGCCUCCAGCUACUGCUGCAUUGUGUAUUAAGCUAAGUGCUUUCACACAAGGGCCAGGAGGUGAGUGGGGAGAUGCUACAUGAGUCCUCUACAGCCUUUUAAGGGGUGAAUACUUUUAGGACUUGUUGUUUAUCAUAGGAAUAUCAAUUUUCUUGAGGUCCUCCAUUUGGUCUAGGUUGCCUCAGCAGCAAGCUGGGUAUGAGGUGUAGAUGAUGUCAUGAGGACAUAUCCCUCAAUAACAGUUUAAAAAGUGGCAUGUGUCAUUAGUAAAAGUAUUUUGUGCCACGGCAAGACACAAGGAACCAUAAUGCUCUCUCUGCAGGGUGAAGCAAGGAGAGUGAAGAUCAUUAGUAUCUUUUUUCCUCCUGAUGUCACUUCCUCUUUCGUCAACGAGGAUGGAAGAAAGACAAAAGAAAGAAGGAACUAAGUUCCAACAAGUAAUACCCACAGAGUCCAAUGGAGGUAAAAAAGGCAAGCUGGCAGAAGUGGAAUGUACACGUACAAAAGGACAACAUAACACUUCCAUCAUCUUGCCUUUUUUUGAAACACACACGCACACACAUACUGUGGACCCUACUCAUUUGCCACAAUGUAGGUUUCUAAAUCAUCUUUCUGGUUUAACAUCCUGGUUUUUGCUUUAUGUCUUAAACUGUAGUUUCCCAUGAAAUAGCUCUAGAAGUGUCUAAUCUCUUCAUAUAUGUGAAGAAGGGGGACAUGGGGAAAGGAGAAAUGUGAGGGUGAUGUAGAUGUCCAUAACAACAAACCUAUGGUUUGCUCUUCAUGUGUCUAAGCAAAGGUAUCUCAAAUGAAUUCAGCAACGUAAGUUUAAAAUAUAAUGUGGCAUGAUCACCAAAUAGUGUUUUGAUACCUCAGAUUGUAAUGAAAAUGUCUUUUUUAAAUGGCAAAGAUUUGCUGUUUCCAUCUUUUUUUUUUUUAAUAUGGUGAAUGUGAAUGUUAUCAACACUUGUAUAUUUGUUAAGGGCACAUCUUCCUCAGAUUUCUGUUAGUUCCUUUCAAGAGUAUCUCAGUUGUGCUCCAUGGAACUCUGGGCAGCAAAUAUGAGAAAAUCUAGUCUCCCAUCUAGACACUGCCAGAUGCACAGCUGGCAGUAGUAUAACUGAACCUUGUAAUAUUUUCUUUCAAGCUAUGUUAAUUGUUUGUUCACACUUACUUGUAUAUGUAGAUUUGUUUUGUGUGCAUAGUACAGUUCAGGCAUUACACAAAUAGGGGAAUGCUGUGUAGUUCUGCCCCUGUUACCUGUUAUAUAGUUACUCCAGAAAUAUCCAUGCAUAUAGCAUGAACAACUACAGCUAGGAAGAUCCAUGUACAAUUAUACAGACUGAGGAUCACAAAUGUGAAGGAACCUUGAUAGUCCACAACUGCCUCAACAUCCCUGAUAUGUUAAAGAAGGAUUCCCUGU